UACGAAGGGGGCUAGCGUUGCUCGGAAUCACUGGGCGUAAAGGGUGCGUAGGCGGGUCUUUAAGGCGGAGGUGAAAUCCUGGAGCUCAACUCCAGAACUGCCUUCGAUACUGUAGAGCUUGAGUUCGGGAGAGGUGAGUGGAACUGCGAGUGUAGAGGUGAAAUUCGUAGAUAUUCGCAAGAACACCAGUGGCGAAGGCGGCUCACUGGCCCGAUACUGACGCUGAGGUGCGAAAGCGUGGGGAGCAAACAGG
This 253-nucleotide ribosomal RNA is filed under the name uncultured bacterium. RNAcentral's name for it is "partial 16S ribosomal RNA". It matches the Rfam family "Bacterial small subunit ribosomal RNA", at positions 524 to 776 of the family's 1533-position model. The record is from RNAcentral.